AUUCCAGUCGAUGAAGUCAAUGCUGCCGGUUGUCCGUCUGGAGACUGAAUGAGCGGCGAGCGGUUUCCACGACUUGAUUUAAUUCUUUCGCACGUUUGUCCUCAAAGUCUCCCUCAUCUCCUACACUUCCUAACAGAGCUUCUCGAGAAUACCCAUCGAUCCAGGAGAAGAAAAAGUCAAGCAUUUGGCAGUUGACAGCUGCAGGAGUGCCAAACUUCAAGCCAACACAACAAUUUGGCAUGAAAAGAGACAGUGAUGCAGAGGCAACUUGUCUCCAGCCAAGACGUUGCCAUGAAGAAAACAAUGGCAAACUAUAAGCUUCGCAUGCUUCUGGAUAAAUCAAAAAUGGUUCAAGGCUGAAAAUACUCCUGUUGUUUGCAGCGAAUGGGUUCCUGAGUAUUAAAACAUGUUGCUUCUAGAAAGCAUUAAUGAACCGCAUUAUGAGUUUGAUUGUUUAAUGUGACCUGGUUUGUAGUAUAGCUGUUAGCCCAGUCAGGAAUAUUGAGUAAGUGCGACUGAACCAUGGAAUCACACUUAAUGGUAGAUAUUUGCUUUGGGUGUUGCAAGGCCAUCCUAGCUUCAUAUGGUUUGUAUUCAGUCUAUAAUAUACAACCAGAGGAACAUGUGUUUGUCUUCAUCAAACAAUUAUUGGGACAUACCAAGCAUGUACCAGUAUGAUGGCGUUCAAUUGUGUAGCAGGCAGAAUGUCAUUUUGGACCGAUAGCAGGAUCCUGUUAGUGGAAAAUAAUGCUUAUAGCAACUGAAUAGUAGCGCCACAGCAUCCAUUCACCAGUCAAUCUAUGUAUGCAUUUGUCUUCCUAUACCCCUACAUAGUAUAAGAUUGACUUUAUCAGCAAUCUUGUAAAAAUUACAUUAACUGUUUGCUCACCGUGCAUGUUCAACGUUGAACUAGAGCAUGUCAAAACUAUUUGGCAAGGCGAUGUGCAACGAUCUGAUCGGAAUAACUAAUCUUGCAAGUAAGACACAGCAGACCGCCACUUUCAGACAUGAAAAGUAUCCAAUCUACCUCAAAUUACCCUGGAAAGGCAAAGCAUCUCAAAACUUUGAACACCAGAUUGAGCAAGUCCUUUAAUGCUGCUGUGACUUUCUCUGGGAACCUCUGGUGGAAUAUGGCUGCAAGAGAAUACAACUCAAGGGACAACUUGAUUAAGAGGGAAAGUUAAAGACCAGACAUACAAGAGACUUAAGACCUAGAGAACUUGGAACUGCACAUGGUGCGACAUAUCUGUCAG
This is a long non-coding RNA of Rhincodon typus (whale shark), 1253 nucleotides long. RefSeq lists it as uncharacterized. The record is from RefSeq and is a predicted model, not a curated record. Lineage: Eukaryota; Metazoa; Chordata; Chondrichthyes; Orectolobiformes; Rhincodontidae. The transcript is spliced from 3 exons.